Molecule: RNA transcript, 4983 nt
Organism: Micropterus salmoides (largemouth bass)
Lineage: Eukaryota; Metazoa; Chordata; Actinopteri; Centrarchiformes; Centrarchidae
Gene name: aryl hydrocarbon receptor-like
Exons: 14
Source: RefSeq, a predicted model, not a curated record
GGGAGGAGAGAGGAGAGGAGAGGACGGGAGCACCGGGGGUUUUUAACGGCUACCGGUUUUCAUUUUAAUGUGUUUUGUCUCUACUCAGGAUGUGAGUUUAAACGUGAGUUUUUAUUUUAUUUUUUAUUGACGCCAUGGACGGCAGAACCGGAGCGACAGACCCAAACUGCCACAGUGACGUUAACUCCCGUGAAAACGUUCUUCGUAAAACGUUAAAUACUUCAGCGGGGAGCUUAAGUGAGUCUGUUCCUAAUGAGUGAAUAUAGUGACAUUAUCUUUCUUUCUUAACUGUUUUAUCUCCUUUAAGCUUUUUAAAUUAACGUUACAAGAACUACAAGUCUCAACCAGACCUUAGCUGACGUUAACGGUCGAGUGGCGGUUAAGAUAUGUCACGUUUAACGGUAACGUUAGCCACCUGCCUGUCCGUUAAUGGAAGCAGACGAAACACACGCUUCUGAUACCUGAGAGGAGUGCUGUGGACUGUUUCUACUGGACUCUACUGUCUGCCUGUUAAAGUCUAUGGAUUUCCUCCAGCUUCACUGUGAAUAAAUCUACAAUAACAACAUGUAUGCUGCACGGAAAAGAAGAAAACCGGCUCAGAAGGGAGUCAAACCGACUGUCCCAACUGAAGGUGCCAAGUCCAACCCAUCCAAACGCCACCGUGACCGUCUGAACUCGGAGCUGGACCGGCUCGCCAGCCUGCUGCCCUUCCCUGAAGACGUCGUCUCCAGCCUGGACAAACUGUCCAUCCUAAGGCUCAGCGUCAGCUUCCUGCGUACCAAGAGCUUCUUCUCCGUGGCGUUGAAGAACCCGCUGUCCAAUGGCAUGAAGAAGAGCAGCGAUCACUGUCAUGACAGCAAGACGUCAGGAUCUGUGGAUGGUCACAUACCUGAGGGGGAGCUGCUGCUGCAGGCCCUGAACGGCUUCAUCCUGGUGGUCACAGCUGAGGGAAUAGUCUUCUUCUGCUCUCACACCAUCCAGGAUUAUCUCGGCUUCCAUCAGACCGACGUGAUGCACCACAGUGUGUUUGAGCUGAUCCACACUGAAGACCAGCAGGAGUUCAGGAGCAACCUGCACUGGGCCCUCAACCCUCCUGCUGGUCUCGGACCCCCGACGGAUCCCUCAACAGACGGGGAGUCUGUGUCGUCGACCUCCUCCCGCCUGGUGAGCUACAACCCCGACCAGCUUCCACCUGAAAACUCCUCCUUCCUGGAGCGAGGCUUCGUCUGCCGCUUCCGCUGUUUGUUGGACAAUUCUUCCGGCUUCCUGGCGUUGAAUAUCCAGGGUCGACUCAAGUUCCUCCACGGGCAGAGCCGUCAUCAGUACGACAGCGAGGGGAGCACGCCGCCUCAGCUCGCCCUGUUCGCCAUCGCCACACCCCUCCAGCCUCCAGCCAUCCUUGAAAUCAGGACGAGGAACAUGAUUUUCAGGACCAAACACAAGCUUGACUUCACACCCAUGGCCUGUGACGCAAAGGGUAAAAUUGUUCUGGGCUACACCGAGGCAGAGCUGAGAGUUCGAGGUUCGGGUUACCAGUUCAUUCACGCUGCCGACAUGCUGCACUGCGCCGAAAAUCAUGUCCGAAUGAUGAAGACGGGCGAGAGCGGCCUCACCGUCUUCAGGCUGCUCACCAAGGAAAACAGGUGGAAGUGGGUCCAGGCUAACGCCAGGCUCGUCUACAAGAACGGAAAGCCGGACUACAUCAUCGCCACCCAGAGGCCGUUGGUGGAUGAGGAAGGAGGGGAACACCUGAGGAAGCGAUCAAUGCACCUUCCCUUCACCUUCGCCACCGGAGAGGCGAUGCUCUACCAGACCGGUUAUCCGCUGCACGGCUUCCCUGAUUCCUUCCAGGGCAAAGCCAAAGGCAGCAAGUCCAAGAAGGGCAAACUGGACAAGAGCUCUUCAGAUGACCUGCACCCAAAUUCUCUGCUGGGAGCGGUGAUGAGCCAGGAUGAGUCUGUGUACGUCUGCCAGCCGGACACGGAGCCAAAGAUGUCCUACCACAGUGGCCUUUUCAGCGAGCAGCAAGGUGACAGCAGUGGUUUUGGUGGCUUGUUAAAUGGCGACAGCUGGCAGAUCAUAUCUAACAGUGAGACGGGGAGAUGUAAUAGCAGAACAUCCAGUUAUGACCCACUGCUGUCCACUUUGGAUUCUCUGUCGCUGGACGAAGAUGAAACCUGCACCAAUAGCGAGCUCUUUAGCGCCCUGGAGAACUUGGGCUUGAACGCUGAAGACCUGGAGCUCCUGCUGCUGGAUGAGAGGAUGAUCCAGGUGGAGCUGGACCCCAACCACAUCCCAACACUGAGCGACAUUCUCACCAACAACGAAAUCCUCUCCUACAUCCACGACUCGCUGGAAACUGGCACAGAGGGGGAGGAACAAGGAGAGAGAGUUGGACUCGGAUCUUCAACUAAUCCACCAAACUCAACCCAAAGUGUCGCCCAGCAGUCGCAGGCAUGCCUCACACCCGCUGUCCCUCCAGCUCUUCCCAUCAUCCAGCUGUCGCAACAGAUGCAGCAGCACAUCAGUGCAGGUGAGCUGGUGAAAGCUCAAACAGGGCAGAUUCAGUCCCAGCCUGAAACAGCGGACACCAAGACAUUAACUGGGAUUCCUAACAGUCAUUGGGUGGUUACGACACAGAACCCCCAUCACCCCAACAACCACACCCAUCACCACCCACAUCCUGUGCUCAAAGCCACACAGCAGAACGGUGAACAUAAACACCUUAACUCACUUCUUGAAUCGAGUCAACAGUGGCAGCUUCAGCAGGACCAGCACACGGUCCAGCUUCAUUCCCAUGAGCAAAUAAACAUCCAGAGCGCUUUGCUGCCUGGCUUCCAGAGUCAGCCCGGAGUGACAACGAACGAAUCUUACAUUCCAAACGGACACGCAGCCUUUCCACCAAACGUGGACGUCAGCCACACAGGUUACAAUAUCACCAACACGCCUCAUGCAGGUGGCACAGUAGUGAAUGGCGUGACCACACCGGACGCUUGUCACUACCAGAGGUUGGUGGCCACCACGCAGCCCUACCAGCUGCAGGGUCACCAGAAGAACCAGCAGCAGCAGCAGAUGUUGCAGCAGACUCAGGUUCCACCAUCUUGUCCCAGCCACAGCUCUACACUGGAAUUAGAGCAGUUACUGGGUUUGUCCCAGCAACAGCACAGCCUGCCGUCGAUAGAGGCCUAUGGCAUGUUCAGCACCACCACGCAGGACUCCACUCGCAGCAAGCUGGAGAACGGAUGCCUCUUCAGUGCUACCAACACAGCGUACAUCAGGACGUGUCUGAUGCCCAAUGGGAAUGGAGUGGCAGCGGGCGACAUCCCUGUCUCCUGCACAGACGGACUUUCCGCCCUGCAAGACCCCCAGAAAUCUGGAUUUUUCCUCUGAAAGGAUGAUGGCCGAGUAUCAAAGGAGGCUGGGAGAGAAGAGAAGAGCCUGAUAUUCCUCACCUGUCCACUGUAGUUCCCCGCCUCAACCAUCACCUGUUCUCCCAGUUUCAGGAAGUGUACAGAGUAGCCAGCCAGACUUCUGGGUUUGAAAUCUGAGGUUAGUGUGAAGUGGUUUUAAAGACGAGCUGAUGCAGCACACUUCUUGGACUGUACUGACACCUAUUGAUCUGAAGACCUUAUGGAGGACUUGACUGCGGCAGGGACAAUCUGCUCCAGCCGACCCUCUCCUUGUUUUUGUGACCUCUGCGACCUCUCCGAGGCUCUUCCUGUCACCGAGCCAGAGCUGCCAUGUUGGAUCUGAGGAGGGGCGCGAACGAGCCGCCGCCCUGCACCGCUACUGUCGCAUUCAUUAACACCGCCGUCUGUCUCUCACACAGACACACACAGCUGGACGCACACUUUCACACAUCCUGUAUAAGUUUGUACACACUGACUUCACUGUUCUGCUCUGCAAAGCAGCUUGAUGUCAACCCUGAUUUUGUCAAAAAGUGGUUCUGUAAAUACAUUUGAAUUUACUUUAUUUGUCAGAGGUGUGAGUGACAGAGUGGGAUGAUUGACAGCUGAUGGGCGGGACCUGGAUUAGCAGGGCCGUAGCCAGGAUUUAAUGGGUGCAAACUCCUCCAGAAGAACUCAGUUGACCUACCACAAACCAAACUCUGUGUACAAAUUUAUGAGUAUUUAAAAAAAAAAUAUCACAUAAUAUUUAUAAUUUACUUUUUAAUUUACUGCCCGUUAUAACGCUAAACCUCCCACAAUCACAGACAAAGACCUUCGUUUCCACAAUUUGUUGUCACAAUCUGGUCUCCGCCGUCAGCCUCCUGGCCAGCCGCCAUACCUGCUUGGCCUGUUCUCCUGAACUGUCGGUGCCUGUUCUGCCCUCAGGCCCUCUGCCCUGUUUUCUGCCCCUGACCUCUCACUUUGUGCACCCCCCCGGUCUCUCCGCCUGAGAGUCUUGUUCUGUGGGUAGUUGUUUUUCUUUAGGGUUGAUUGGACAUCUAGGGACGUCCCUACGAGGGGGGCACUAUCACGAUCCUGGUCUGGUCCUGUCUGUACUUCUCCCGUCUCUCCUGUUUUACUUUUAUGGUCCUUCUGCUCUGUCUGUUCUGUGUUUUGGGUCCUGGUUUCUGUCUGUUUCUAGUCUUGUGUUGGGGUUGGGCUUCAUCUGCUGUUCAUGUCUAGUCUUGCGCCCAGAUUUGUGUCCUUUCUUUUCACCCUGUCUGGCCUGAUCUGUAUUACGUGUUUGUACACCCGCCCUGCUCGUUUGUGUAUGAAUAGUUGUCAUUUCAGUUCUGUCUUUGUCAUGUACUAGUAGUCGGUUACCUUUCUCUGCGCACCUGUUGCUACCCUGCCUGAUGGUCACGACUGUUGGUUUUCACACCAGCUCAUCCUUUGUUUGAAGUUUUUGGACACCUUAUUUGUGAGGGCUGCCUUUUGUUUGGACGCUCCCCCUUUUAAGUGAUACAUCUCUGUCUAGCUCAAUAAAUAUCUGAGAACCGAUCUGGCUGUGUCUGCCUGAGAUUCACAACCAAUC